This 390-nucleotide long non-coding RNA is filed under the name Malus domestica (apple). RNAcentral's name for it is "long non-coding RNA (MDOM_LNC015092)". Lineage: Eukaryota; Viridiplantae; Streptophyta; Magnoliopsida; Rosales; Rosaceae. The record is from RNAcentral.
GGCACAUUCAGGCAACAAAGUAGUGUUUGGGAACUUGAACUAUGAAAUUUCUCAACUCUAUUCUAUAUAAAGGCUUUUGCAGCUGAGUCUCUAAAACAUCAUUCACUAAACUUUCAUCCAGGAUAUUUUACAAAAUGCUAGUUAACUAUAGUAUAGCAUUCCAAAGUAGAUCUCCAUUAUUUACAAAAUCUUAGUUAAUAUUAGCCAAAAUACUUCAUAGUGCAAAGCUAAGUUAGAUCUCCAUAAUUUGAGUCGUUUGUUCCUUGUUUUCCCUUGGGGUCUGAGCACUGGCCACUUCCGUUUAUGCUCCUCUUGUCCGCAACCAAUAAUGGGAUAUGUACCACAAAAGAGUUUCAUGAGAACAGGCAAGUAGGUAGGUAGAUCUUAAGA